RNAcentral lists this ribosomal RNA (520 nucleotides) under uncultured bacterium. RNAcentral describes it as "bacterial SSU rRNA". It matches the Rfam family "Bacterial small subunit ribosomal RNA", at positions 355 to 891 of the family's 1533-position model. The record is from RNAcentral.
CAAGGAAUAUUGCCCAAUGGACGGAAGUCUGAGGCAGCAACGCCGCGUGAGGGACGAAGGCCUUCGGGUCGUAAACUUCUUUUCUGAGGGAUGAGAAAGGACAGUACCUCAGGAAUAAGCUUCGGCUAACUACGUGCCAGCAGCCGCGGUAAAACGUAGGAAGCAAGCGUUAUCCGGAUUUACUGGGCGUAAAGGGCAGGCAGGCGGUUGGUUAAGUUGGACUUGAAAGCUCCCGGCUCAACUGGGAGAGGCGGUUCAAAACUGGCCAACUAGAGGAUGAUAGAGGAGAGUGGAAUUCCCGGUGUAGUGGUGAAAUGCGUAGAUAUCGGGAGGAACACAGUGGCGAAAGCGGCUCUCUGGGUCACACCUGACGCUCAACUGCGAAAGCCAGGGGAGAGAACGGGAUUAGAAACCCCGGUAUUCCUGGCCGUAAACGAUGUUAACUAGGCGUAGGCGGUGUCAAAGCCGUCUGUGCUGCAGCCAACGCGAUAAGUUAACCGCCUGGGGAGUACGGCCGACG